UACGUAGGGUGCGAGCGUUGUCCGGAAUUAUUGGGCGUAAAGAGCUCGUAGGCGGUGUGUCACGUCGGCCGUGAAAACCUGCAGCUUAACUGUGGGCGUGCGGUCGAUACGGGCAUCACUGGAGUUCGGCAGGGGAGACUGGAAUUCCUGGUGUAGCGGUGAAAUGCGCAGAUAUCAGGAGGAACACCGAUGGCGAAGGCAGCUUGCUGGGACGGUACUGACGCUGAGACGCGAAAGCGUGGGGAGCAAACAGG
RNAcentral lists this ribosomal RNA (254 nucleotides) under uncultured bacterium. RNAcentral describes it as "partial 16S ribosomal RNA". It matches the Rfam family "Bacterial small subunit ribosomal RNA", at positions 524 to 776 of the family's 1533-position model. The record is from RNAcentral.